Molecule: transfer RNA, 64 nt
Filed under: Margaritifera hembeli
Lineage: Eukaryota; Metazoa; Mollusca; Bivalvia; Unionida; Margaritiferidae
Description: tRNA-Tyr
Source: RNAcentral
AACAAAGUGGCCGAGAUCUUAGGCAAAAGAUUGUAGCUCUUUCUACGGACACACCCCUUUGUAA